RNAcentral lists this ribosomal RNA (466 nucleotides) under uncultured bacterium. Its description in RNAcentral is "partial 16S ribosomal RNA". It matches the Rfam family "Bacterial small subunit ribosomal RNA", at positions 28 to 507 of the family's 1533-position model. The record is from RNAcentral.
GAUGAACGCUGGCGGCGUGCUUAACACAUGCAAGUCGAACGAUGAAGCCCAGCUUGCUGGGUGGAUUAGUGGCGAACGGGUGAGUAACACGUGAGUAACCUGCCCUUAACUCUGGGAUAAGCCUGGGAAACUGGGUCUAAUACCGGAUAGGAGCGUCCACCGCAUGGUGGGUGUUGGAAAGAUUUAUCGGUUUUGGAUGGACUCGCGGCCUAUCAGCUUGUUGGUGAGGUAAUGGCUCACCAAGGCGACGACGGGUAGCCGGCCUGAGAGGGUGACCGGCCACACUGGGACUGAGACACGGCCCAGACUCCUACGGGAGGCAGCAGUGGGGAAUAUUGCACAAUGGGCGAAAGCCUGAUGCAGCGACGCCGCGUGAGGGAUGACGGCCUUCGGGUUGUAAAUCUCUUUCAGUAGGGAAGAAGCGAAAGUGACGGUACCUGCAGAAGAAGCACCGGCUAACUACGUG